Molecule: ribosomal RNA, 569 nt
Filed under: Staphylococcus cohnii
Lineage: Bacteria; Bacillati; Bacillota; Bacilli; Caryophanales; Staphylococcaceae
Description: bacterial SSU rRNA
Rfam family: Bacterial small subunit ribosomal RNA
Source: RNAcentral
CACAAGCGGUGGAGCAUGUGGUUUAAUUCGAAGCAACGCGAAGAACCUUACCAAAUCUUGACAUCCUUUGACAACUCUAGAGAUAGAGUCUUCCCCUUCGGGGGACAAAGUGACAGGUGGUGCAUGGUUGUCGUCAGCUCGUGUCGUGAGAUGUUGGGUUAAGUCCCGCAACGAGCGCAACCCUUAAGCUUAGUUGCCAGCAUUAAGUUGGGCACUCUAAGUUGACUGCCGGUGACAAACCGGAGGAAGGUGGGGAUGACGUCAAAUCAUCAUGCCCCUUAUGAUUUGGGCUACACACGUGCUACAAUGGACAAUACAAAGGGCAGCUAAACCGCGAGGUCAUGCAAAUCCCAUAAAGUUGUUCUCAGUUCGGAUUGUAGUCUGCAACUCGACUACAUGAAGCUGGAAUCGCUAGUAAUCGUAGAUCAGCAUGCUACGGUGAAUACGUUCCCGGGUCUUGUACACACCGCCCGUCACACCACGAGAGUCUGUAACACCCGAAGCCGGUGGAGUAACCAUUUAUGGAGCUAGCCGUCGAAGGUGGGACAAAUGAUUGGGGUGAAGUCGUA